AGUCGAGCGGUAGAGAGAAGCUUGCUUCUCUUGAGAGCGGCGGACGGGCGAGUAAAGCCUAGGAAUCUGCCUGGUAGUGGGGGAUAACGUUCGGAAACGGACGCUAAUACCGCAUACGUCCUACGGGAGAAAGCAGGGGACCUUCGGGCCUUGCGCUAUCAGAUGAGCCUAGGUCGGAUUAGCUAGUUGGUGAGGUAAUGGCUCACCAAGGCGACGAUCCGUAACUGGUCUGAGAGGAUGAUCAGUCACACUGGAACUGAGACACGGUCCAGACUCCUACGGGAGGCAGCAGUGGGGAAUAUUGGACAAUGGGCGAAAGCCUGAUCCAGCCAUGCCGCGUGUGUGAAGAAGGUCUUCGGAUUGUAAAGCACUUUAAGUUGGGAGGAAGGGCAUUAACCUAAUACGUUAGUGUUUUGACGUUACCGACAGAAUAAGCACCGGCUAACUCUGUGCCAGCAGCCGCGGUAAUACAGAGGGUGCAAGCGUUAAUCGGAAUUACUGGGCGUAAAGCGCGCGUAGGUGGUUUGUUAAGUUGGAUGUGAAAUCCCCGGGCUCAACCUGGGAACUGCAUUCAAAACUGACUGACUAGAGUAUGGUAGAGGGUGGUGGAAUUUCCUGUGUAGCGGUGAAAUGCGUAGAUAUAGGAAGGAACACCAGUGGCGAAGGCGACCACCUGGACUAAUACUGACACUGAGGUGCGAAAGCGUGGGGAGCAAACAGGAUUAGAUACCCUGGUAGUCCACGCCGUAAACGAUGUCAACUAGCCGUUGGGAGCCUUGAGCUCUUAGUGGCGCAGCUAACGCAUUAAGUUGACCGCCUGGGGAGUACGGC
Molecule: ribosomal RNA, 831 nt
Filed under: uncultured Gammaproteobacteria bacterium
Lineage: Bacteria; Pseudomonadati; Pseudomonadota; Gammaproteobacteria
Description: bacterial SSU rRNA
Rfam family: Bacterial small subunit ribosomal RNA
Source: RNAcentral